Molecule: small RNA, 2829 nt
Filed under: Pongo abelii (Sumatran orangutan)
Lineage: Eukaryota; Metazoa; Chordata; Mammalia; Primates; Hominidae
Description: retained intron
Source: RNAcentral
CGCGAGCCGAGGGAGGCGGUUCCCUCUUAUGCUUUUCAUCUCCAUCCCCAUCCCCACCCACUACCAGGGGGCUUGGGUUCUGAGCUGAUGGGGUACCUCCCUCUGCAGAGCGGGAUGAGUGGGUGUUCCGGCAGGGAUGUGGUCAUUGACGGCCAGUGAAGGUGAGAGUACCACGGCCCACUUCUUCCUUGGAGCUGGAGAUGAGGGGCUGGGCACCCGUGGAAUAGGCAUGAGGCCAGAAGAGAGUGACAGCGAGCUCCUUGAGGAUGAGGAGGAUGAAGUGCCUCCUGAACCUCAGAUCAUUGUUGGCAUCUGUGCCAUGACCAAGAAAUCCAAGUCCAAGCCAAUGACUCAAAUCCUAGAGCGACUCUGCAGAUUUGACUACCUGACUGUUAUCAUUCUGGGAGAAGAUGUAAUCCUUAAUGAACCCGUGGAAAACUGGCCAUCCUGCCACUGCCUCAUCUCUUUCCACUCCAAAGGCUUUCCUCUGGACAAAGCUGUGGCUUACUCCAAGCUUCGAAACCCCUUUCUUAUCAAUGAUCUGGCCAUGCAGUAUUACAUCCAAGAUAGGAGGGAGGUGUACCGGAUCCUGCAGGAAGAGGGUAUUGAUCUGCCUCGAUAUGCUGUGCUCAACCGUGAUCCUGCCCGGCCUGAGGAAUGCAACCUGAUAGAAGGUGAAGACCAAGUAGAGGUCAAUGGAGCUGUCUUUCCCAAGCCCUUUGUGGAAAAGCCAGUGAGUGCAGAAGACCACAAUGUUUACAUCUACUACCCCAGCUCAGCUGGAGGAGGAAGCCAGCGUCUCUUUCGUAAGAUUGGCAGCCGAAGCAGUGUUUACUCUCCUGAGAGCAGUGUCCGAAAGACGGGGUCGUACAUCUAUGAGGAGUUUAUGCCAACAGAUGGCACAGAUGUCAAGGUGUAUACAGUGGGGCCAGAUUAUGCCCAUGCUGAAGCUAGAAAAUCUCCAGCUUUGGAUGGGAAGGUUGAACGAGACAGUGAGGGGAAAGAGAUUCGAUAUCCAGUCAUGCUGACUGCCAUGGAAAAGCUGGUGGCCAGGAAAGUCUGCGUAGCUUUCAAGCAAACAGUUUGUGGAUUUGACCUUCUUCGUGCCAAUGGUCAUUCCUUUGUGUGUGAUGUCAAUGGCUUUAGUUUUGUCAAGAACUCGAUGAAAUACUACGAUGACUGUGCCAAGAUUCUGGGGAACACCAUAAUGCGGGAGCUUGCCCCACAGUUCCAGAUUCCAUGGUCCAUCCCCACGGAGGCUGAGGACAUUCCCAUUGUUCCCACCACAUCUGGCACUAUGAUGGAACUUCGUUGUGUCAUUGCAAUUAUUCGUCAUGGGGAUCGUACUCCCAAGCAGAAGAUGAAGAUGGAAGUGAAACACCCAAGGUUUUUUGCUCUGUUUGAAAAACAUGGUGGCUACAAGACAGGGAAAUUAAAACUCAAGCGACCUGAGCAGCUCCAGGAGGUGCUGGAUAUCACAAGGCUGUUGUUGGCUGAACUGGAGAAAGAACCAGGUGGUGAGAUCGAGGAGAAGACUGGAAAACUAGAGCAGCUGAAGUCUGUAUUGGAGAUGUAUGGUCACUUCUCAGGUAUAAACCGGAAGGUACAAUUGACUUACUACCCUCAUGGAGUAAAAGCUUCUAAUGAGGGGCAAGAUCCACAGAGGGAAACUCUGGCCCCAUCUCUGUUGCUGGUACUGAAGUGGGGUGGAGAACUGACUCCUGCUGGCCGUGUUCAGGCUGAGGAGCUGGGGCGAGCUUUUCGCUGCAUGUACCCUGGAGGACAGGGUGACUAUGCUGGCUUCCCUGGUUGUGGGCUGCUUCGUCUCCAUAGCACUUUCCGCCACGAUCUCAAGAUCUAUGCCUCUGAUGAGGGUCGUGUUCAGAUGACUGCUGCUGCCUUCGCCAAGGGCCUUCUGGCUCUAGAAGGGGAGCUGACACCCAUUUUGGUGCAAAUGGUGAAGAGUGCCAACAUGAAUGGGCUACUGGACAGCGAUGGGGAUUCCUUGAGCAGCUGCCAGCACCGGGUGAAGGCUCGGCUGCACCAUAUUCUACAGCAGGAUGCGCCCUUUGGCCCUGAGGACUACGAUGAGCUGGCUCCCACCAGAAGUACUUCCCUGCUCAACUCCAUGACUGUCAUCCAGAAUCCUGUGAAGGUCUGUGAUCAGGUAUUUGCCCUGAUCGAAAACCUCACCCACCAGAUCCGGGAACGAAUGCAGGACCCCAGGUCUGUAGACCUGCAGCUCUACCACAGUGAGACACUAGAGCUAAUGCUACAGCGUUGGAGCAAGCUGGAGCGUGACUUUCGACAGAAGAGUGGGCGCUAUGAUAUCAGUAAGAUCCCUGACAUCUAUGACUGUGUCAAGUAUGAUGUGCAGCACAAUGGGAGUCUGGGACUUCAAGGCACAGCAGAGUUGCUCCGUCUCUCUAAGGCACUGGCUGAUGUGGUCAUUCCCCAGGAGUACGGGAUCAGUCGGGAGGAGAAACUGGAAAUUGCUGUGGGCUUCUGUCUUCCACUGUUGCGGAAGAUACUACUUGACCUGCAGAGAACCCACGAGGAUGAGUCUGUCAACAAGCUGCAUCCCCUGUGAGGGAGGGCUGGGAGGGGUGUUGGAUGGAGGGAGGGGCAUGUCAGGGAGCCUUGGGGGAAUCAAAGCUGGGACAGCCUGGGGAACCAAGAAUAAACAAGAUUUUGGGAUGGAAAGGAGAGAAGUCUUUGAGGUGGGAGGAGGGAGUUUGCAGAAGGGUGGGAACAGGGUUAACUGAUUGUGUGAGUGAUUUAGCUGUUAUCUCAGGUACUCCGAGGCGUGCUCUCCCCAGGUCGCCACGU